AUUGAACGCUGGCGGCGUGCUUAACACAUGCAAGUCGAUCGGUAACAGGUGUAGCAAUACAUGCUGACGAGAGGCGGACGGGUGAGUAAUGCUUGGGAAUCUGCCUAUUAGUGGGGGACAACCCGGGGAAACUCGGGCUAAUACCGCAUACGCUCUACGGAGGAAAGCCGGGGACCGCAAGGCCUGGCGCUAAUAGAUGAGCCCAAGUCGGAUUAGCUAGUUGGUAGGGUAACGGCCUACCAAGGCGACAAUCCGUAGCUGGUCUGAGAGGACGACCAGCCACACCGGAACUGAGACACGGUCCGGACUCCUACGGGAGGCAGCAGUGGGGAAUAUUGGACAAUGGGGGCAACCCUGAUCCAGCGACGCCGCGUGGGUGAAGAAGGCCUGCGGGUUGUAAAGCCCUUUCGGUGGGAAGAAAAGUCUCGACCUAAUACGUCGGGACCUUGACGUAACCCACUAAAGAAGCACCGGCUAACUCUGUGCCAGCCGCCGCCGUAAG
Molecule: ribosomal RNA, 502 nt
Filed under: uncultured bacterium
Lineage: Bacteria
Description: bacterial SSU rRNA
Rfam family: Bacterial small subunit ribosomal RNA
Source: RNAcentral